AUCUUAAUUCAUAACUGAUUUAAGAAUGGGAUGAAGCCAAAGGCAAAGCUUUACUCAGCUAUAGAUAAAGUUAGAAAAAGCAAAAAGAUGCUUGCUACUACAUUUUUGCAGUAGCUCAGAACUCUAGUGCCAUCUAAUCUCACAUCCAGGAGCCACAUCCAUUGAUUGAUAGUUCAAUUGUGGUGCAUCUGAAAUAAUAAUAAAAUUGAUUUUCUUGCCCCAAAGCACCAUAGAUUGAUGGGUCUUGCUUUUGUUGUGGAAAAAUUACCUUUCAGUUUCUUUUUUCUGCUCUGAUAGUGAUUCAGCUGUUAUAACUUUGGGUUUUGCAUUCUAGAGAUGAUUACAGGCCAGCUUCAGACUAUUUUAAGGAUUAGGCGGAAGAAGCAAUAUGUAACACUGUCCACCAAAUUGGCUGAUAUCCCCUAAAGCUUUAAACUUGCACAAAUGUAGACAUAUAGAGGUAUUUACACCAUUGAUCUGAAAAAAAUAAACUGAGAAGGAUGUCUGUGGAGAUUCUCAGUCAUCCAGGUCAUAGUUGUCCCAAAGGUGCUUUUUUCUUCAAAAGGUAACUAGACAGUUUUUUUCCUUGAGGAGGAAGAAGAAAAUGUUUCACUUCUCAUCCAAAAGGUUCAUCAGUUCUCAUGGCAGAGGGGUGGGGAUGGAUGGAAGGAUAGGUUCUGAUACGAUGGUCGGGAGGAUGGAAGAACUGUAUUUCUUUGCAAUCAUCUGGCUGUUAGAAUUCUCUCUGAUAGCUGUUGAGGCCACUUGGAGGUUUAUCUGUGCACUCAGGGUCACCUGAAUCAGGGUGCAGUUGGUUGUGGAAUCUUCUUUGAACUGCUGCAAGAAUUGCGUUGUAAACUGGAGAUGGGUGGUGUCUUAUUCCUCC
Pseudonaja textilis is the source of this 886-nucleotide non-coding RNA. The record is from RefSeq and is a predicted model, not a curated record. NCBI's taxonomy places the organism in Eukaryota, Metazoa, Chordata, Lepidosauria, Squamata, Elapidae.